RNAcentral lists this unclassified non-coding RNA (348 nucleotides) under soil metagenome. RNAcentral's name for it is "partial contains 5.8S ribosomal RNA, internal transcribed spacer 2, and large subunit ribosomal RNA". The stretch from base 1 to 120 matches the Rfam family "5.8S ribosomal RNA", at positions 35 to 154 of the family's 154-position model. The record is from RNAcentral.
GAUGAAGAACGCGGCGAAAUGCGAUAAGUAAUGUGAAUUGCAGAAUUCAGUGAAUCAUCGAAUCUUUGAACGCACAUUGCGCCCGCCAGUAUUCUGGCGGGCAUGCCUGUCUGAGCGUCAUUUCAACCCUCAUGCCCCUAGGGCGUGGUGUUGGGGAUCGGCCAAAGCCCGCGAGGGACGGCCGGCCCCUAAAUCUAGUGGCGGACCCGUCGUGGCCUCCUCUGCGAAGUAGUGAUAUUCCGCAUCGGAGAGCGACGAGCCCCUGCCGUUAAACCCCCAACUUUCCAAGGUUGACCUCAGAUCAGGUAGGAAUACCCGCUGAACUUAAGCAUAUCAAUAAGCGGAGGA